GGGUGCCCUAAUACUGGCAAGUCGAGCGGACAGAUGGGAGCUUGCUCCCUGAUGUUAGCGGCGGACGGGUGAGUAACACGUGGGUAACCUGCCUGUAAGACUGGGAUAACUCCGGGAAACCGGGGCUAAUACCGGAUGGUUGUCUGAACCGCAUGGUUCAGACAUAAAAGGUGGCUUCGGCUACCACUUACAGAUGGACCCGCGGCGCAUUAGCUAGUUGGUGAGGUAACGGCUCACCAAGGCGACGAUGCGUAGCCGACCUGAGAGGGUGAUCGGCCACACUGGGACUGAGACACGGCCCAGACUCCUACGGGAGGCAGCAGUAGGGAAUCUUCCGCAAUGGACGAAAGUCUGACGGAGCAACGCCGCGUGAGUGAUGAAGGUUUUCGGAUCGUAAAGCUCUGUUGUUAGGGAAGAACAAGUGCCGUUCAAAUAGGGCGGCACCUUGACGGUACCUAACCAGAAAGCCACGGCUAACUACGUGCCAGCAGCCGCGGUAAUACGUAGGUGGCAAGCGUUGUCCGGAAUUAUUGGGCGUAAAGGGCUCGCAGGCGGUUUCUUAAGUCUGAUGUGAAAGCCCCCGGCUCAACCGGGGAGGGUCAUUGGAAACUGGGGAACUUGAGUGCAGAAGAGGAGAGUGGAAUUCCACGUGUAGCGGUGAAAUGCGUAGAGAUGUGGAGGAACACCAGUGGCGAAGGCGACUCUCUGGUCUGUAACUGACGCUGAGGAGCGAAAGCGUGGGGAGCGAACAGGAUUAGAUACCCUUGGUAGUCCA
This 775-nucleotide ribosomal RNA is filed under the name Bacillus velezensis. Its description in RNAcentral is "bacterial SSU rRNA". It matches the Rfam family "Bacterial small subunit ribosomal RNA", at positions 42 to 797 of the family's 1533-position model. The record is from RNAcentral. Lineage: Bacteria; Bacillati; Bacillota; Bacilli; Caryophanales; Bacillaceae.